This 65-nucleotide transfer RNA is filed under the name Saron marmoratus. RNAcentral's name for it is "tRNA-Asn". Lineage: Eukaryota; Metazoa; Arthropoda; Malacostraca; Decapoda; Hippolytidae. The record is from RNAcentral.
UAGUCAAAGCCAAAAAGAGGCCUACCACUGUUAAUGGUAUAAUUGAAAUUUAUUUCUGUCUAAGG